UACAGAGGUCCCGAGCGUUGUUCGGAUUCACUGGGCGUAAAGGGUGCGUAGGUGGUCGGGUAAGUCUGGUGUGAAAUCUCGGAGCUCAACUCCGAAACUGCAUCGGAUACUAUUCGGCUAGAGGGUUGGAGGGGGGACUGGAAUUCUCGGUGUAGCAGUGAAAUGCGUAGAUAUCGAGAGGAACACCAGUGGCGAAGGCGAGUCCCUGGACAACUCCUGACGCUGAGGCACGAAAGCUAGGGGAGCAAACAGG
Molecule: ribosomal RNA, 253 nt
Filed under: uncultured prokaryote
Description: partial 16S ribosomal RNA
Rfam family: Bacterial small subunit ribosomal RNA
Source: RNAcentral